This 321-nucleotide ribosomal RNA is filed under the name uncultured bacterium. RNAcentral's name for it is "bacterial SSU rRNA". It matches the Rfam family "Bacterial small subunit ribosomal RNA", at positions 28 to 332 of the family's 1533-position model. The record is from RNAcentral.
GACGGACGCUGACGGUGUGCUUUAGACAUGCAAGUCGAACGAGAAAGCCCUUCGGGUUAGUAGAGUGGCGCACGGGUGAGUAACACGUAGGUAAUUUGCCUUCGGGUGGGGAAGUAACAGCCGGAAACGGCUGCUAAUACCGCAUAAUGCAGCGGCUCGACAUCGAGACAGUUGUUAAAGCGGGGGAGUUCGCAAGAACCUCGCGCCUGAAGAGAAGCCUGCGGCAGAUUAGCUAGUUGGUAGGGUAAUGGCCUACCAAGGCGACGAUCUGUAACCGGCCUGAGAGGGCGGGUCGGUCACACUGACACUGACAUACGGGUC